Molecule: ribosomal RNA, 387 nt
Filed under: uncultured bacterium
Lineage: Bacteria
Description: bacterial SSU rRNA
Rfam family: Bacterial small subunit ribosomal RNA
Source: RNAcentral
AAUCAACGCUGGCGGCGUGCCUAACACAUGCAAGUCGAACGGUAAGGCCCUUUCGGGGGUACACGAGCGGCGAACGGAUGAGUAACACGUGGGUGACCUGCCUUUAGCUCUGGGAUAAGCCUGGGAAACUGGGUCUAAUACCGGAUACGACUCCGCGGUGCAUGCUGUGGGGUGGAAAGCCUUGUGCGGCUGGAGAUGGGCCCGCGGCCUAUCAGCUUGUUGGUGGGGUGAUGGCCACCAAGGCGACGACGGGUAGCCGGCCUGAGAGGGCGACCGGCCACACUGGGACUGAGACACGGCCCAGACUCCUACGGGAGGCAGCAGUGGGGAAUCUUGCGCAAUGGGCGAAAGCCUGACGCAGCGACGCCGCGUGAGGGAUGACGGCCU